UACGAAGGGGGCAAGCGUUGUUCGGAAUUACUGGGCGUAAAGGGUUCGUAGGCGGUGCGGCAAGUCGGGAGUGAAAUCUCUGGGCUUAACUCAGAGGCUGCUUUCGAAACUGCCGCGCUCGAGUGCGGGAGAGGCGAGUGGAAUUGCAGGUGUAGCGGUGAAAUGCGUAGAUAUCUGCAGGAACACCCGUGGCGAAGGCGGCUCGCUGGACCGCAACUGACGCUGAGGAACGAAAGCAUGGGGAGCAAACAGG
This 253-nucleotide unclassified non-coding RNA is filed under the name uncultured Terriglobia bacterium. RNAcentral's name for it is "uncultured Acidobacteriia bacterium contains 16S-23S intergenic spacer region". It matches the Rfam family "Bacterial small subunit ribosomal RNA", at positions 524 to 776 of the family's 1533-position model. Lineage: Bacteria; Pseudomonadati; Acidobacteriota; Terriglobia. The record is from RNAcentral.